GCGCGAAAACUUUACAAUGCUGGCAACAGCGAUAAGGGAACCUCGAGUGCCAGGUUACAAAUCUGGCUGUCGAGAUGCCUAAAAAGCAUUUCAUAGCAAGGGCGGGGCAAGACCGGUGCCAGCCGCCGCGGUAACACCGGCGGCUCGAGUGGUAACCGUUAUUAUUGGGUCUAAAGGGUCUGUAGCCGGCCGGAUAAGUCUCUUGAGAAAUCUGGCAGCUUAACUGUCAGGCUUUCAGGAGAUACUGUCUGGCUCGAGGCCGGGAGAGGUGAGAGGUACUUCAGGGGUAGGGGUGAAAUCGUGUAAUCCUUGAAGGACCACCAGUGGCGAAGGCGUCUCACCAGAACGGACCUGACGGCAAGGGACGAAAGCUAGGGGCACGAACC
RNAcentral lists this ribosomal RNA (386 nucleotides) under uncultured prokaryote. RNAcentral's name for it is "bacterial SSU rRNA". It matches the Rfam family "Archaeal small subunit ribosomal RNA", at positions 339 to 725 of the family's 1478-position model. The record is from RNAcentral.